AGUGAACGCUGGCGGUAGGCCUAACACAUGCAAGUCGAACGGCAGCACAGUAAGAGCUUGCUCUUACGGGUCGCGAGUGGCGGACGGGUGAGGAAUACAUCGGAAUCUACUUUUUCGUGGGGGAUAACGUAGGGAAACUUACGCUAAUACCGCAUACGACCUACGGGUGAAAGCAGGGGAUCUUCGGACCUUGCGCGAUUGAAUGAGCCGAUGUCGGAUUAGCUAGUUGGCGGGGUAAAGGCCCACCAAGGCGACGAUCCGUAGCUGGUCUGAGAGGAUGAUCAGCCACACUGGAACUGAGACACGGUCCAGACUCCUACGGGAGGCAGCAGUGGGGAAUAUUGGACAAUGGUCGCAAGCCUGAUCCAGCCAUACCGCGUGGGUGAAGAAGGCCUUCGGGUUGUAAAGCCCUUUUGUUGGGAAAGAAAAGCAGCAGGUUAAUACCCCGCUGUUCUGACGGUACCCAAAGAAUAAGCACCGGCUAACUUCGUG
RNAcentral lists this ribosomal RNA (492 nucleotides) under uncultured bacterium. RNAcentral's name for it is "partial 16S ribosomal RNA". It matches the Rfam family "Bacterial small subunit ribosomal RNA", at positions 29 to 507 of the family's 1533-position model. The record is from RNAcentral.